Molecule: ribosomal RNA, 511 nt
Filed under: Fusarium solani
Lineage: Eukaryota; Fungi; Ascomycota; Sordariomycetes; Hypocreales; Nectriaceae
Description: eukaryotic LSU rRNA
Rfam family: 5.8S ribosomal RNA (bases 135-288)
Source: RNAcentral
CAUCACCCUGUGACAUACCUAAACGUUGCUUCGGCGGGAACAGACGGCCCCGUAACACGGGCCGCCCCCGCCAGAGGACCCCCUAACUCUGUUUCUAUAAUGUUUCUUCUGAGUAAAACAAGCAAAUAAAUUAAAACUUUCAACAACGGAUCUCUUGGCUCUGGCAUCGAUGAAGAACGCAGCGAAAUGCGAUAAGUAAUGUGAAUUGCAGAAUUCAGUGAAUCAUCGAAUCUUUGAACGCACAUUGCGCCCGCCAGUAUUCUGGCGGGCAUGCCUGUUCGAGCGUCAUUACAACCCUCAGGCCCCCGGGCCUGGCGUUGGGGAUCGGCGGAGCCCCCCGCGGGCACACGCCGUCCCCCAAAUACAGUGGCGGUCCCGCCGCAGCUUCCAUUGCGUAGUAGCUAACACCUCGCAACUGGAGAGCGGCGCGGCCACGCCGUAAAACCCCCAACUUCUGAACGUUGACCUCGAAUCAGGUAGGAAUACCCGCUGAACUUAAGCAUAUCAAUAG